GACGAACGCUGGCGGCGUGCUUAACACAUGCAAGUCGAGCGGUAAGGCCCUUUUGGGGGUACACGAGCGGCGAACGGGUGAGUAACACGUGGGUGACCUGCCCUCAGCUCUGGGAUAAGCCCGGGAAACUGGGUCUAAUACCGGAUAUGACUCCAUGACGCAUGUUGUGGGGUGGAAAGCCUUGUGCGGCUGAGGAUGGGCCCGCGGCCUAUCAGCUUGUUGGUGGGGUGAUGGCCUACCAAGGCGACGACGGGUAGCCGGCCUGAGAGGGCGACCGGCCACACUGGGACUGAGAUACGGCCCAGACUCCUACGGGAGGCAGCAGUGGGGAAUCUUGCGCAAUGGGCGAAAGCCUGACGCAGCGACG
This 367-nucleotide ribosomal RNA is filed under the name uncultured bacterium. RNAcentral's name for it is "bacterial SSU rRNA". It matches the Rfam family "Bacterial small subunit ribosomal RNA", at positions 28 to 396 of the family's 1533-position model. The record is from RNAcentral.